This is a small nuclear RNA of Microtus ochrogaster (prairie vole), 104 nucleotides long. The record is from Ensembl. Lineage: Eukaryota; Metazoa; Chordata; Mammalia; Rodentia; Cricetidae.
AUGGUAUUUGGACCACAUAUACUAAAAUUGGAAUAAUAGAGAGAAGUUUAACAUGGACCCUGUGAAAGGAUGACACACGAAUUUGUGAACUGUUCCAUCUUGUU